GGACCAGGUCCUAUUGUUUUUUUUUCCUCUGUGGAGUGAGAAACGGCGUCGUUUUAAUUUUUAGGUUUCUGAUUUUAGAAAUCCUGAUCCGUUGUCUUCUCGUUCUCGCUUAGUCGCAGGCUCGCAGCUUCUCUCGCAGCUUCUAGGCUCCUUCCUCUCCCGGCGCCGUCGUCCACGCUCCGUCGUCCGUCGUCCGGCGUCCCAAAGGUAUAAUUCUUCUCUAAAAUGCAAUUGCUUCUUCUCUCUCGUCAAAGCAAAGACUGCUACAUGUUUGUUUUAAGGCAAAUUCAGAUUUUGGGUUUUGCCAUUUUGUUCCUUCAUAUUUUUCCAAUGUUUGUGAUUGUGUGUGACUGUGUGUGCCUGCGGGUGUGGUUCGGUAUCUUGAGCGGGCCUAAGUAAAUAACUUAUUACGCAACCUCGUAGUCGUACUGUUACCCCCUUUCCCUUAUUGUGCGAAAAGGAUUAUUGAACUGUUACGUUUGGUAGUUGAAAAUCCUAUUGCAGAUGCGGUGCUCUGUUGCUUAUGGGAUUUCCAUAAUCCUAACUGCCUUGCGUGGCAAUGUGAACAACACUUGUCGAUAGGAAGAGAGAAGCUUGCAUGCUCAGGAACACAGUUCUGAACUUCUGAUAUUAAUUGGAAGCCAAUAAUAUGAGAUAUUUUAAAGGGUGAUAACCAAGCUCUAAUAACUUUUGAACGAUUGAACCUGCAUUAUUAUGUAACGAGUUGGAUGUUACAACACUAAAAUUAGCUAUGUUAGUGCAUAUAUUAUUUUAUAGUGAGGAGGGACAGUCCAGGCAUGCUCGUAUGCCCAUUGCCCACUCAUAAAUAUGGGAUAACAUGUAGCUUCUUUGAUUCGUAUUUUUUUGUAUUUUGUUGAACAAGUUUCCUAUCCUUUCUAAUGGACAAGGAAUGAAAAUAACAUUAUGUUAUGUAAACGUAAGUAUACUUUACCGUGAUUAUGAAAAGAACAUUAUGUUAUGCCCACUCAAAAUUUAAUUUAUUUUUUUUUGGUGAUUAUAAAAAAACUAAGAUAAAAUUAUUUAAAGAAUAUUAUGUUAUGUAAACGUAAGUAUACUUUACCGUUUUAUAAAUUAAUUAAAAUGUUAUACUUUAUUUUUACAGAAAUAAAAUACUUGUUUCCGUCAGUUUGAUUAGGAUUCAGGGAGUUGUUAUUUACACUCUUCAUUUUCACUUGUACACUCCUCUUUCCCUUUCUUUUUCAUAAUCUUCCUAAAAUGCCCUCCUUAACACACUCCACCUCGUCUCUUUCUUCCAAAAAAAAAACACAUCGACCGUGGAUGUGUC
This 1306-nucleotide long non-coding RNA is filed under the name Glycine max (soybean). Its description in RNAcentral is "long non-coding RNA (GMAX_LNC001695)". Lineage: Eukaryota; Viridiplantae; Streptophyta; Magnoliopsida; Fabales; Fabaceae. The record is from RNAcentral.